RNAcentral lists this ribosomal RNA (467 nucleotides) under uncultured bacterium. RNAcentral describes it as "partial 16S ribosomal RNA". It matches the Rfam family "Bacterial small subunit ribosomal RNA", at positions 29 to 507 of the family's 1533-position model. The record is from RNAcentral.
ACGAACGCUGGCGGCGUGCUUAACACAUGCCAGUCGCACGGAAAGGCCCUGCUUUUGUGGGGUGCUCGAGUGGCGAACGGGUGAGUAACACGUGAGUAACCUGCCCUUGACUUUGGGAUAACUUCAGGAAACUGGGGCUAAUACCGGAUAGGAGCUCCUGCUGCAUGGUGGGGGUUGGAAAGUUUCGGCGGUUGGGGAUGGACUCGCGGCUUAUCAGCUUGUUGGUGGGGUAGUGGCUUACCAAGGCUUUGACGGGUAGCCGGCCUGAGAGGGUGACCGGCCACAUUGGGACUGAGAUACGGCCCAGACUCCUACGGGAGGCAGCAGUGGGGAAUAUUGUACAAUGGGCGGAAGCCUGAUGCAGCAACGCCGCGUGCGGGAUGACGGCCUUCGGGUUGUAAACCGCUUUCGCCUGUGACGAAGCGUGAGUGACGGUAAUGGGUAAAGAAGCACCGGCUAACUACGUG